Molecule: ribosomal RNA, 503 nt
Filed under: uncultured bacterium
Lineage: Bacteria
Description: bacterial SSU rRNA
Rfam family: Bacterial small subunit ribosomal RNA
Source: RNAcentral
GAACGAACGCUGGCGGCGCGUCUUAAGCAUGCAAGUCGAACGGCAAGAGGUAGCAAUACCUCCUAGAGUGGCGGACUGGUGAGUAACACGUGGGUGACAUACCCUUCAGAUGGGGAUAGCUAUAGAAAUAGUAGAUAAUACCGAAUACGAGCACAGGGGUUAGAGAUCUGUGAGGAAAGGAGCUAAGGCUCCGCUGAAGGAAUGGCCUGCGGCCCAUUAGCUAGUUGGUGAGGUAAGACGCCCACCAAGGCGAUGAUGGGUAUCCGGCCUUAGAGGGUGAACGGACACAUUGGGACUGAGAUACGGCCCAGACUCCUACGGGAGGCAGCAGCUAAGAAUAUUCCGCAAUGGACGAAAGUCUGACGGAGCGACGCCGCGUGGAUUGAAGAAGGCCGGAAGGUUGUAAAAUCCUUUUGAAACUGAAGAAUAAGCGUUGUAGGGAAUGACAGCGUGGUGACAGUAGGUUUUGAAUAAGCAACGGCUAAUUACGUGCCAGCCGCAGC